RNAcentral lists this ribosomal RNA (491 nucleotides) under uncultured bacterium. RNAcentral describes it as "partial 16S ribosomal RNA". It matches the Rfam family "Bacterial small subunit ribosomal RNA", at positions 29 to 507 of the family's 1533-position model. The record is from RNAcentral.
AGUGAACGCUGGCGGUAGGCCUAACACAUGCAAGUCGAACGGCAGCACAGUAAGAGCUUGCUCUUACGGGUGGCGAGUGGCGGACGGGUGAGGAAUACAUCGGAAUCUACUUUUUCGUGGGGGAUAACGUAGGGAAACUUACGCUAAUACCGCAUACGACCUACGGGUGAAAGCAGGGGAUCUUCGGACCUUGCGCGAUUGAAUGAGCCGAUGUCGGAUUAGCUAGUUGGCGGGGUAAAGGCCCACCAAGGCGACGAUCCGUGCUGGUCUGAGAGGAUGAUCAGCCACACUGGAACUGAGACACGGUCCAGACUCCUACGGGAGGCAGCAGUGGGGAAUAUUGGACAAUGGGCGCAGGCCUGAUCCAGCCAUACCGCGUGGGUGAAGAAGGCCUUCGGGUUGUAAAGCCCUUUUGUUGGGAAAGAAAAGCAGCAGGUUAAUACCCCGCUGUUCUGACGGUACCCAAAGAAUAAGCACCGGCUAACUUCGUG